RNAcentral lists this ribosomal RNA (257 nucleotides) under uncultured bacterium. RNAcentral describes it as "partial 16S ribosomal RNA". It matches the Rfam family "Bacterial small subunit ribosomal RNA", at positions 524 to 776 of the family's 1533-position model. The record is from RNAcentral.
GACGUAGGGCGCGAGCGUUGUCCGGAUUUAUUGGGCGUAAAGAGCUCGUAGGCGGCUUGUCGCGUCGACUGUGAAAACCCCGUGGCUCAACCAUGUGGGUCUGCAGUCGAUACGGGGCAGGCUAGAAUUCGGUAGGGGAGACUGGAAUUCCUGGUGUAGCGGUGAAAUGCGCAGAUAUCAGGAGGAACACCGGUGGCGAAGGCGGGUCUCUGGGCCGAUACUGACGCUGAGGAGCGAAAGCGUGGGGAGCGAACAGG